This 495-nucleotide ribosomal RNA is filed under the name uncultured soil bacterium. RNAcentral's name for it is "bacterial SSU rRNA". It matches the Rfam family "Bacterial small subunit ribosomal RNA", at positions 26 to 515 of the family's 1533-position model. The record is from RNAcentral.
AGAUUGAACGCUGGCGGCAUGCCUUACACAUGCAAGUCGAACGGCAGCACGGGGGCAACCCUGGUGGCGAGUGGCGAACGGGUGAGUAAUAUAUCGGAACGUGUCCUGUAGCGGGGGAUAACCUAUCGAAAGAUGGACUAAUACCGCAUACGAUCUACGGAUGAAAGCGGAGGACCGCAAGGCUUCGCACUAUAGGAGCGGCCGAUAUCGGAUUAGCUAGUUGGUGGGUAAAAGCCCACCAAGGCGACGAUCCGUAGCUGGUCUGAGAGGAUGAUCAGCCACACUGGAACUGAGACACGGUCCAGACUCCUACGGGAGGCAGCAGUGGGGAAUUUUGGACAAUGGGCGCAAGCCUGAUCCAGCCAUGCCGCGUGAGUGAAGAAGGCCUUCGGUGUAAAGCUCUUCGGUCAGGAACGAAAUGGUUCGUGUUAAUACCACGGACUAGAUGACGUACCUAGAAGAAGAAGCGACCGGACUAACUACGUAGCCAGCAGA